This 2566-nucleotide long non-coding RNA is filed under the name Mytilus galloprovincialis (Mediterranean mussel). Lineage: Eukaryota; Metazoa; Mollusca; Bivalvia; Mytilida; Mytilidae. The record is from RNAcentral.
GUCUUUUGUUCGAGCCUGUAUAUUGACCUCUAGAUAUCUUUCAAUUACAUCCAGUUUGGUGUGUGUUGAUGUUUGAUAGUUGUAAAUAUAAGGAAAUAGUAACCGAAUAAGGAAAUGAAAAUUUAAUAAGGAAAAAGAAAUCAAAUAAGGAAACAGAAACCUAAUAAGGAAAAAGAAACCGAAUAAGGAAAUAGAAACCGGAUAAGGUAGCACUCCACAGUUAGAUGUGUAGUUUCGCAUUUUUGCCCCUGUGAAUUUUUCAAAUAUGAGAGCUAGUGUGCAAUAAAAUUCAUUUUUUGGAUAGCUGAGUAUUAAAAUAAUCUUUGUAUUGGGUUUAUAUGAACAUCAAGGUUAUGUAAUGUAUCUAAUAUAGGCUGUUUUCUGUAUGACAGUCCGUAUUUGCAUGUCCUUACCAUACACUGGUCCGGCAAUUAUUGCAAUGUUUUUUUCCAACUUUUUAUCGCACGAACUUUGUGAUUGGAUUUUACGAAAAAAUGAGACGAAAGACACCCAUUUUUUAUUUGAUCAUUAGGAAGAUUUAGGGAAACAGUUUCUGAAAAGGUAUCACUCAAAGGCAUUGAAAUUCUAGUUUGAUCCAAAUUUUUGGGUGAAAUGUGACAUGUUCACCCCCCUUUUUGCAAUAUUUUAUGGGAAAUAAAUGCAGAAUGUUGCCAUGGAUACACAUAAAAGGAAUUAAUUUUCACCCUUUUCACUUUUCAAAAUCAAAUCUAUGGAAGAUACUGAUUACAUACAUAUGCACAUGUACAACACAAACAGUUACGUUAAUGUAUUAGAAAUCCAGGAAUAGGAGAUGAUAAAACAUUUUGUGGCUCAUUUUUAAUUUUAUUUUUUAACUGUGGAGUGCUACCUAAGGAAAUAGAAACCGAAUAUGGAAAUAGAAACCGAAUAAGGAAACAGAAAUCGAAUAAGGAAAUGGAAAUCGAAUAAGCAAAUGAAAAUCCAAUAAGGAAAUAGAAACCGAAUAAGGAAAUAGAAACCGAAAAAGGAAAUGAAUAUUGAAAAAGGAAAAAGAAACCGAAUAAGGAAAUGAAAAUCGAAUUAGGAAAUGGAAAUCGAAUAAGGAAAUAGACACCGAAUAAGGAAAUGAAAAUCGAAUAUGGAAAAAGAAACCGAAUAAGGAAACGAAAAAAAAAAUUUGAAAAACUUUUUGAGGAAAAAAAAAUUUGAGGAAAAAAAUUUUGAAGGAAAAAAAAAAUUCAGUUUGGACUUGUAAUAUUUUUCAAAAUUUGAAUAUCGAAAAAGGAAAUGGAAACCGAAUAAGGAAAUGAAAAUCCAAUAAGGAAAUGAAAAAUCCAAUAAGGAAAUGAAAACUGAAUAAGGAAAAUAGAAACCGAAAUAAGAAAAAAGAAACGAAUAAGGAAAUGAAAAUCCGAAUAAGGAAAUGAAAAUCCAAUAAGGAAAUAGAAACGAAUAAGGAAAUAGAAACCGAAUAAAAUAGAACCGAAAAGGAAAUGAAUAUUGAAAAAGGAAAAAGAAACCGAAUUAGAAAUGGAAAUCGAAUAAGGAAAUGGAAAUCGAAUAGGAAACGAAAACCAAUAAGGAAAUAGAAACCCAAUAAGGAAAUAGAAACCCAAUAAGGAAAAGAAACCCAAUUAGAAAUAGAAACCGAAAAAGGAAAUGAAACAUUGAAAAGGAAAAAGAAUAAGGAAAAAAACCGAAUAAGGAAACUGAAAAUCAAAUAAGGAAAUGGAAAUCGAAUAAGAGAAACUGUAUAAGGAAAUUAAAAUCGAAUAAGGAAAGAGAAACCGAAUAAGGAAACGAAAAAAAAAAUUUGAAAAACUUUUUGAGGAAAAAAAAAUUUGAGGAAAAAAAAAAUUUUGAGGAAAAAAAUUUUUGAGGAAAAAAAAAUUUUGAGAAAAAAAAAAAUUGAGGAAAAAAAUUUUGAAGGAAAAAAAAAUUCAGUUUGGACUUGUAAUGUUUUUCAAAAUUUGAAUAUCGAAAAAGGAAAUCGAAUAAGGAAAUGAAAGUCCAAUAAGGAAAUGAAAAUCCAAUAAGGAAAUGGAAACUGAAUAAGGAAAUAGAAACCGAAUAAGGAAAAAGAAACCGAAUAAAGAAAUAAGGAAAUCCAAUAAGGAAGGAAAUCCAAUAAGGAAAUGGAAACUGAAUAAGGAAAUAGAAACCGAAUAAGGAAAAAGAAACCGAAAAAGGAAAUGAAUAUUGAAAAAGGAAAAAGAAACCGAAUUAGGAAAUGGAAAUCGAAUAAGGAAAAGGAAAUCGAAUAAGGAAACGAAAAUCCAAUAAGGAAAUAGAAACCCAAUUAGGAAAUAGAAACCCAAUAAGAAAACAGAAACCCAAUAAGGAAAUAGAAACCAAAAAAGGAAAUGAACAUUGAAAAAGGAAAAAGAAACCGAAUAAAGAAAUGGAAAUUGAAUAAGGAAUGGAAUCGAAUAAGGAAAUGAAAAUCCAAUAAGGAAAUAGAAACCGAAUAAGGAAAUAGAAACCGAAUAAGGAAAUAGAAACCGAAAAAGGAAAUGAACAUUGAAAAAGGAAAAAGAAACCGAAUAAGGAAAUGAAAAUCAAAUAAGGAAAUGGAAAUCGAAUAAGG